This 1036-nucleotide long non-coding RNA is filed under the name Phasianus colchicus (ring-necked pheasant). RNAcentral's name for it is "lncRNA (ENSPCLG00000016866.1)". Lineage: Eukaryota; Metazoa; Chordata; Aves; Galliformes; Phasianidae. The record is from RNAcentral.
CCGAGGUGCGGAAGGAGGUUCUGUUCUUCAACAACUUCCUGCAGGACCCCAAACGCCCCGCUCUGCCCGAGGGGAAGGGGGGACCCCCGCCGGGACCCGCGCAGGGUCUGGCCCCAGGGCUGCUGUACCCCCCCCAGACCCCCCAGGGGAUGAUGCCCUACGGACAGCCCCGACCCCCCAUCCUGGGCUACGGAGGUAUGGGAUUGGGGUGGGAUUAUGGGAUUGGGGGCGGGAUUAUGGAGGUUUAGGGUGCGAUUAUGGGAAAUGGGGGUGGGAUUAUGGGAUUGGGGGUGGGAUUAUGGGGAUUGGCGGUGAGGAAAUGGGGAUUUGGGUGGGAUUAUGGGGAUUGGGGGUGGGAUUGUGGAAUUGGGGGUGGGAUUAUGGAGGUUUAGAAUGGAAUUAUGGGAUUCAGGGUGGAAUUAUGGAGGCUCAGAUUGGGAUUGGGGGAUUGGGAGUGCGAUUAUGGAGGUUUAGAGUGGGAUUAUGGAGAUUGGAGGUGAGGAAAUGGGGAUUUAGGGUGGGAUUAUGGCAAUUCGGGGCAAGAAUGUGAGAUUGUGGCGUGAGAUUAUAGGGAAUAGGGUGGGAUUUUGGGAAUUGGGGGUGGGAUUAUGCGGAUUUGGGGCAAGAAUGUGAUCUUUUGGGGUGGGAUUAUGGGAAUUUGGGAUGAAGUUCUGGGGAUUAGGGUGGGAUUAUGGGGAUUUGGGAUGGAGUUAUGGGGAUUAGGGUGGGAUUAUGGGGAUUUCGGGCUGGAAUGUGAGGAUUUGGGGCAUAAUUAAGAGAUCUGAAGUGGGAUUAAGAGGAUUUAGAGUAAGAUUAAAAGAGUUCAGUUCAGGAUUAGGGGAUUUUGAGUGGGAUUAUGAGGGUUUGGGAUGGGAUUCAGGAAUUUAAAGCGGGUUUAUAGGGAUUGGGGUGGGAUUGAGCAAUUUAAGCUAGCCUUAAAGGAGGUUGGUGUGGGAUUAAAAGGCUUUGGAGGUGGUGAGGGGAAUUUGGGAGGAUUAUGGGGGAUUUGGGGAUGGUGUUUAGGGGGAUGAAAGGG